UUCUGUGUGGUCUUAGACAGUGGUAUAAUAUACAGGUGAACAGCGAGUUAUUGGCUGUGACGAGAACUAUCUGUAUUCAUACACACAGAGCAAGUUGGAAGAAUUGGCAACAUAGUACAGAUACGUACCUUGGUACCAAGUACAGAACUAGAAGAAUAUCGGUGGAAGGAACGGGAACUGAUUUUUAUUUAAAGAAGAAAGUUAAUACAUAAAGGAAACGGUAGCAGACAUUUUUACCAGAAUACGUGAUAAGCAAUUAGUACUGGAAUUUGCAGUUUCUAAAAGUUUGAUUACCGGUGACAUCGGGAAGCAAUAAUUGUAAAACAUGGCUAAACUUAUCUUACUUUCCAUAUUACUGUUUACUGUAACCAUAACAACGAUUUCUGGAGCAGAAAACAACAAAUACACAGAAUUAAGUAAAAGAACAAAAGAAGUUUUAAGAGACUCAGAUUUUGAUUCAGCUCUAAAAUAUUUGCUAAGUAGUCUAAAAAAUAAAGUUUUAAGAGACCGAAGAGGUUCUGUAGAUUUUGGACUGAUGUCACGUCAUCUAGCUGGAUCAGACUAUGCUCGUGUAGCUGAGACUCGUCACCACAUCCUUGACCCAUAUGGACCUGGAAAACGAAAGCGGACUUUGUAAAGCUCUAAUACCUUCGUUGCUGAAGACCAAACCAACAUUCUGAAAUUACUGACAAAUGCAAUUCUAGAAUUUGUAAAAAAAAGUUACCUAUUAUAAGAAAUCAAAUUAAUGUCUCGUAAAAUAGACAUUAUGGAGGAAUGUAACAAAACUUAUUGAACCAGAGACUGAAGCUGUUAUAUAUCAUACAAUUGAUUUUGUAUUAUAAAUAUGUACAUUAACACAAAAUAGUUGUGCCACAAAAUAUGGUCAUUAAUGUUUGAAAUAUAGGAAAAUGUGUGUGCUUAACUAGCCUCUGUGCACUUAACACUCUUUAUUUCUAAUAAAAGAGAAUAUUGCUGAACCUUCUAAAUAAAUAAAAACGAUCAACCAAAACUGCAAACUCUGACAAAUGUAUUAUUUAAUUCAUUGUAUUAUUAACUACCGAAUCUAAACCACUACUCUGUAUUCCAGGCAAUAUUAAUGUACAAAUAUAAUUUUUUUAAUAGUCAUUAUGUGAAAUUUAGACCUUAAAAAUUAUUAUUAGUUGAGAUUCUCGAUAUAUUUAUUAUCUAAAAUAUGUUAUCUAAUGUACAUAAUGAAAAUAGUAUCCAGCACUAUUUUAUCACCAAGUGAACUAAUGUUUUUCUUUGCAUAGCAUUUGUUUGUAAUCAAUUGCAAUUUUGUUCAUUUGAUGAAAAUACCCAAGAGAAUAAAAUGAACAUACCCGAUGUAUAAGUUUUCAAUUAGGGAUAUAAUUACUUGCCCAAAGUUUGUCACAGAAUUAAAAAGAGAAACCCAUAGAUAUGCACCCCGCCUAGUUAGACGUUCAAUUUAAUCCUAAUUUUCCAACCUUUAUUUUUAAACGUUAAGAGCGAAUUUAGGUCAUUGGGUUUUGUUCUAACCAACGCAGAUUUGGAUCGUUUGUUUUCAAAUAACAACGGUGAUAUUUCAACCGUAGAUUAAUUUCAAAUUUUAAUGUUCAUCAUUUGUUUGUUAUUUAGUCAAUCUGAUUAAAAUACAGAUAUAAAUUUCUAUUUGCUUUUUUUUGGGUGCUUUCUGAUGACAAAACCCAUCGAAAUGUGAUCAGUAAAAUACGGAACGAAAUGAGAUUUGGUUUUUUUAUCAGAUUGGUGAACGAAUUGUAAGCACAUAUAAUUUAUUAUACUGCCGCGUGGUCCUUUAACAUACCAUAUUAAUGGGGAGAGAGCCCUCCGAUGGAAUCCAUGAACAUGGGAUAGAAAUGAACUUCUAGUGUACUUUAACUUAUCAGUAUCACGAUGUUGUUUUGAGAAUGAACAAAUGUAUGCAUCUACGCACAAUACUUACUUGUAGCACUUUGGGGCGUUUCAAUUGACGAUGAGGAUAAUUGAAGAAUAAAAUCUAAAAAACAUAUGCUUAAUGCUCGCUUUAGUUGUAAAUUAAUAAGUUUUUUGAUUUAGCAUUAUUAUAACAACAUGGCGGAUGGAAAUACGGAAAACGCGGAAAGCACCUUAUAACAGUUAAGGACCGGAAAUUAAAACCUUAUGCCUGGUUUUCAUGUGGGCUACGCAUACCACGAAUCCUCCCUAAUAGUGCCGAAUCGGCAAAAAAAAAAUCGUGGAGAAUCGGGAGUAGUUACGAAGCAGUUACAAAUAGUGUAUGGUUUAAUUCGUGGGUAAUUGGGUGUAAAAUAUGUCGAAUGUCCAGAUAGGCUUACGAGAAAGGUACAAACUGAAAGAAUUAUCUACGAAUUGUAACGAUUCAGUUAAGAAUAAGCCAGUUUCUUUGCGAAUAUACCAAAUUCAAUUACGAAUACACUACGAUCUCCACGAAUAAUGUCGAUAAAGCUAGAAAAAGUUUACGAUAUUUGGCCCUAUCCGUGGCAAUUCGGCAAAAAAAACGUUCGUGGUCGAGCUACAAACUGCUACGAACAAUACGAAUGUGUAAGAACCAAAUAAGAAUCAUUCACGAACUUCAAGACCCGUCUAGGAUUUAUCUACGAGUCAGAAAAAGUUUGGAUUCGGAACGAUUCGUGACAUUCCAAGCCAAUGUGAAAGCCAGGCAUUGCCAGACAAAAAAUACGUUUGGGUUGAAUUAAAGUGAUAAAUAGAGAA
Long non-coding RNA from Patella vulgata (common limpet), 2709 nucleotides. RefSeq lists it as uncharacterized. The record is from RefSeq and is a predicted model, not a curated record. Lineage: Eukaryota; Metazoa; Mollusca; Gastropoda; Patellidae. The transcript has 6 exons.